UAAACCUGGUUGAUCCUGCCAGUAGUCAUAUGCUUGUCUCAAAGAUUAAGCCAUGCAUGUCUAAGUAUAAAUGAUUUUAUACAGUGAAACUGCGAAUGGCUCAUUAAAUCAGCCAUAAUUUACUUGAUAAUACCAAAAAAACUUAAAAGGAUAACUGUAGUAAUUCUAGAGCUAAUACAUGCUAAAAGCCUCAU
RNAcentral lists this ribosomal RNA (194 nucleotides) under uncultured eukaryote. RNAcentral describes it as "partial 18S ribosomal RNA". It matches the Rfam family "Eukaryotic small subunit ribosomal RNA", at positions 1 to 186 of the family's 1831-position model. The record is from RNAcentral.